UUCUAAACUAGUUUAAACCUUUUUUCACCCAGUGACUUAAGAAAACUCAAUAAUUUAUACACUCACACUCUCAGUUUUUCUAUUUAGCAGUUGUUUUCAUGGUGUUAUAUGAAAUUCAGAGCUUUCUUGGAUGUCAGAGCCAGGAAUCAGAGCUAAGGGCACACACUCUGUGUCUCUGACUCCAACACCAGGUGAGGGAGGACAGACAGGAUGGAGAAUGUGGAGCAAGGUUGCCCACUCUGGCUCACACCUCAAGGCACAGCUUCUCUGAGCAGGCCAGGCCUCCUGAGGAGAGACCCUGGGUCAAUAUCAAUUCCAAAUGUUCCUGUCACCUCUUCUCCAAUGACAGAAGUGAUAAAAGCAUCAAAAGUCACUCUUUAAAAUAGGAAUGUGUAUUUCUCAGACUAUCUUAGAAGCUCUGUGAAAUAUUUCUCCAGAGCUGCAGUAGGAAACCUUCCUGAUGAACUGCCCUGGAGCAGAGGGAAAUGCAGGCAGAGCCAGGCUUUGUCAGGACUUGCUGGAGCCCAGUGAGCCCCGGGGUGCAUUUGGUGCUGAGCCCUUGAACCCCAGAGCCUGAGAGGAGAUUGCACAAACUUUUCCAGGAGUCCAAGUCAGAAGAAAACCCCAGGUGUCUCCAAGCAUUAAUGGGUCCCACUGGGGUCCAGCCCCAGCACAGGCUCCUCAUGGGCUCCUUGGAGGAGAGAAUUGGAGGCCUUGAUUGCCCAGAAACCUCUCAGAGUCCCAGUGUGGGAACAAGAAAGGAAAGUACCUUAAAGAACUGAAGCACCCAGAGGCAUUGAUGAGCUCCACAGAGUGUUGUUACUGACAAAGGCUCUCAGGAGACUAAUUAAAGCGGAUAAUUGGAGGCCAUGAGUGCACAAACCUCUCAGAGACUGCAAGGCAAGAGCAGAGCCCCAAGUCCUUUGAAAAAGCUGCAGUCCCUGGGAGCAUUGAGGAGCCCCCCAGGGCCAUUCCUGGCCAAGGCUCCCCAGGGACUCGUCCCAGCAGAUCCCUGAGGCCCCUGGGAUGUGGGGGGAUGCUGAGGGCAGGACAAGGGGGUGACAGUGGCCAGCCUUGCUGGGGCUGUGCCAGGAGGCCCCAGGGCCUCAGGACCAGGUGUCUCCUCACAGCCCUUGCUGGCACAGACCCUGCUGUGGCCCAGGGCACCAAGACUUGGCUUCUCUUUGUCCCCACCUGUCAUCUCUGCCUCCCAUUUCCUGCUCUAACUGGAACCUGGGGACACUUUCUCAGCCGUGUCCCUCAGUGGGACCCAUCAACGGCAUCAGCAACUUUGGAGUUUGAUUAUGACGGAAUUCUCCAGAGGUUUCGUCACAAACCCUGGCUCUGCCUUGAUUUCCCUCUGCUCCAGUGCAGCUCAUCAGGAAGGUUUGCAACUCCAGUUAUGGAGAAUGGGUUUGGGUGCCACAGCAACCGGGAGAAGUUCAAGUUUCCUUGGAAUACCUGGGGAGGACUGGGACAUACUGGGGAACACUGGGAAUGCAGUGGGAGACACUGGGACAUACUGGGAGUGAUACUGGGGAGGGCUGGGACAAGCUGAGGAAUGCUGAGGGGGAACUAGGGUGGGUUGGGAUGGACUUGGGGGUACUCUGGGACAUACUGGGACAGACGAGGACAUACUGGGAGUGACACUGGGGGAUACUGGGACAAACUGGGGACACUGGGAACACUGUGGGAAAAACUGGGGGACACUGGGGAGUUGGAUGGAUGACACUGGGGGCAACUGGAAGGGAAUGGGAAUGAACUCAGGUGUAUUGGGACGGACUGGGCUCUACUGGGAGGGUCUGAAGGGGCACUUGGAAUGAACUGGGCUGUACUGGGAGGGACUGGAAGGGUGGAAUUUGCCGUUCCCGCCUCUGCCAUCACCUAUUGGCCAAAGCUCCCGCCAAUCACGGCCUUCAGCCAAUCAGCUCCGGGCAUCAGGGACUCGGGGGCGGGGCCGACAGUCGGCGCCAUUUUUCCUUUUUGCCUCUCACUCCCGUCAUGCCCCGCGCCCCGAUAGUGCCCCAUUGGAGCCGGGACUACAACGCCCGUCAUGCCCCGCGCUCCACAGAACCCCGGGAUCGCCCCCAUCUGUCCCUGUUUUGUAAAGUGGUGUUCCUAACAUAUUAGUCCUGGACCUUGGUAUAACAAAGAAGGAGGGCUGUAUAAUUCCUAAGAUCCAAAAAGCGUCGGAUUCUUUCCCACCUGCGUUGUUCUGCGUCCGGAUUUAAUGGAGUUCCUGUCAGCAGCCAAUCCAGAAUGCCUCUUUUCUCUAAUGGAUUAAAGUUAGUUGCAAUCAUAAAGCACAAA
This is a non-coding RNA of Cyanistes caeruleus (blue tit), 2310 nucleotides long. The record is from RefSeq and is a predicted model, not a curated record. Lineage: Eukaryota; Metazoa; Chordata; Aves; Passeriformes; Paridae.